Molecule: ribosomal RNA, 207 nt
Filed under: uncultured bacterium
Lineage: Bacteria
Description: partial 16S ribosomal RNA
Rfam family: Bacterial small subunit ribosomal RNA
Source: RNAcentral
CGCGUAGGCGGACGGAAAAGUCGGACGUGAAAUCCCAGGGCUUAACCCUGGAACAGCAUCCGAAACUUUUUGUCUAGAGGGUAGGCGGAGAAAACGGAAUUCCACAAGUAGCGGUGAAAUGCGUAGAUAUGUGGAAGAACACCGGUGGCGAAGGCGGUUUUCUAGCUUAUUCCUGACGCUAAAGCGCGAAAGCAAGGGGAUCAAACA